RNAcentral lists this ribosomal RNA (254 nucleotides) under uncultured bacterium. RNAcentral's name for it is "partial 16S ribosomal RNA". It matches the Rfam family "Bacterial small subunit ribosomal RNA", at positions 524 to 776 of the family's 1533-position model. The record is from RNAcentral.
UACGGGGGGGAGCAAGCGUUGUUCGGAUUUACUGGGCGUAAAGGGCGCGUAGGCGGCGUGACAAGUCACUUGUGAAAUCUCCGGGCUUAACUCGGAACGGUCAAGUGAUACUGUCGUGCUAGAGUGCGGAAGGGGCUACUGGAAUUCUCGGUGUAGCGGUGAAAUGCGUAGAUAUCGAGAGGAACACCUGCGGCGAAGGCGGGUAGCUGGGCCGACACUGACGCUGAGGAGCGAAAGCGUGGGGAGCGAACAGG